GAUGAACGCUGGCGGCGUGCCUAAUACAUGCAAGUCGAGCGAACGGACGAGAAGCUUGCUUCUCUGAUGUUAGCGGCGGAAGGGUGAGUAACACGUGGAUAACCUACCUAUAAGACUGGGAUAACUUCGGGAAACCGGAGCUAAUACCGGAUAAUAUUUUGAACCGCAUGGUUCAAAAGUGAAAGACGGUCUUGCUGUCACUUAUAGAUGGAUCCGCGCUGCAUUAGCUAGUUGGUAAGGUAACGGCUUACCAAGGCAACGAUGCAUAGCCGACCUGAGAGGGUGAUCGGCCACACUGGAACUGAGACACGGUCCAGACUCCUACGGGAGGCAGCAGUGGGGAAUCUUCCGCAAUGGGCGAAAGCCUGACGGAGCAACGCCGCGUGAGUGAUGAAGGUCUUCGGAUCGUAAAACUCUGUUAUUAGGGAAGAACAUAUGUGUAAGUAACUGUGCACAUCUUGACGGUACCUAAUCAGAAAGCCACGGCUAACUUCGUG
RNAcentral lists this ribosomal RNA (497 nucleotides) under uncultured bacterium. RNAcentral describes it as "partial 16S ribosomal RNA". It matches the Rfam family "Bacterial small subunit ribosomal RNA", at positions 28 to 507 of the family's 1533-position model. The record is from RNAcentral.